This 253-nucleotide ribosomal RNA is filed under the name uncultured bacterium. RNAcentral describes it as "partial 16S ribosomal RNA". It matches the Rfam family "Bacterial small subunit ribosomal RNA", at positions 524 to 776 of the family's 1533-position model. The record is from RNAcentral.
UACGUAGGUGGCAAGCGUUGUCCGGAAUUAUUGGGCGUAAAGCGCGCGCAGGCGGUCUUUUAAGUCUGAUGUGAAAGCCCCCGGCUCAACCGGGGAGGGUCAUUGGAAACUGGGAGACUUGAGUGCAGAAGAGGAGAGUGGAAUUCCACGUGUAGCGGUGAAAUGCGUAGAUAUGUGGAGGAACACCAGUGGCGAAGGCGACUCUCUGGUCUGUAACUGACGCUGUGGCGCGAAAGCGUGGGGAGCAAACAGG